UAGGGAAUAUUGGACAAUGGGGGCAACCCUGAUCCAGCCAUGCCGCGUGAGUGAUGAAGGCCUUCGGGUUGUAAAACUCUUUCAGGUGUGACGAUGAUGACGGUAACACCAGAAGAAGCUCCGGCUAACUUCGUGCCAGCAGCCGCGGUAAUACGAAGGGAGCGAGCGUUGUUCGGAAUCACUGGGCUUAAAGCGUACGUAGGUGGUUAUAUAAGUAAGAAGUGAAAGCCCCGGGCUUAACCUGGGAAUUGCUUUUUAGACUGUAUAGCUGGAGUCCCGGAGAGGUUAGGAGAAUUCCGAGUGUAGAGGUGAAAUUCGCAGAUAUUCGGAGGAAUACCAGUGGCGAAGGCGCCUAACUGGACGGGUACUGACACUGAAGUACGAAAGCGUGGGUAGCAAACAGGAUUAGAUACCCCCGUAGUCC
Molecule: ribosomal RNA, 424 nt
Filed under: uncultured bacterium
Lineage: Bacteria
Description: bacterial SSU rRNA
Rfam family: Bacterial small subunit ribosomal RNA
Source: RNAcentral